RNAcentral lists this ribosomal RNA (460 nucleotides) under uncultured bacterium. RNAcentral describes it as "partial 16S ribosomal RNA". It matches the Rfam family "Bacterial small subunit ribosomal RNA", at positions 338 to 795 of the family's 1533-position model. The record is from RNAcentral.
CCUACGGGAGGCUGCAGUGAGGAAUAUUGGUCAAUGGACGAGAGUCUGAACCAGCCAAGUAGCGUGAGGGAUGACUGCCCUAUGGGUUGUAAACUUCUUUUAUAUGGGAAUAAAAUGGUGCACGAGUGGGCGUUUGUAUGUACCUUAUGAAUAAGGAUCGGCUAACUCCGUGCCAGCAGCCGCGGUAAUACGGAGGAUGCGAGCGUUAUCCGGAUUUAUUGGGUUUAAAGGGAGCGUAGGUGGAUUGUUAAGUCAGUUGUGAAAGUUUGGGGCUCAACCGUAAAAGUGCAGUUGAAACUGGCAGUCUGGAGUACAGUAGAGGUGGGCGGAAUGCGUGGUGUAGCGGUGAAAUGCUUAGAUAUCACGAAGAACUCCGAUUGCGAAGGCAGCUCACUGGACUGACACUGACACUGAGGCUCGAAAGUGUGGGUAUCAAACAGGAUUAGAUACCCUUGUAGUC